Long non-coding RNA from Melopsittacus undulatus (budgerigar), 545 nucleotides. RefSeq lists it as uncharacterized. The transcript is spliced from 2 exons. NCBI's taxonomy places the organism in Eukaryota, Metazoa, Chordata, Aves, Psittaciformes, Psittaculidae. The record is from RefSeq and is a predicted model, not a curated record.
CUCAGUCUGUGUCCCCAACAAAGAUGUUUAGCAAGAUCAAUUCUGUCUUUGCUGGUGUAAUAGUCCCAAGGUUGCACACUCAGUAUUUAUGUGUAUUUGACUAUAUUCAUCCUUCUAACCACUUUUCUUUUUUUUUUCUCUCUCAUGAGUUUUAGAUCUGUUAAUGCAAUAGGUACAGAUCAAACAAGCAAAACUGUUGAGAAGGUAAUACUUCAGCUAGGAAGCACAAAUUACUUGGCCAGCCAGCUCACGUGUCCUACAGACUUGUUCUCUGCACUUACGAUCUCAAGUGACAGUGCUGCAGUGAUGACACGAUUGAAGUUCCAUCAGUAGAUAAAGACAUAAAGACAGAGAGUUCUCCUUGCUCAGCAUUUCAGUACUCUGGUGUUAUGCCAAUGCCAUGUGAUGCAAGCCUGAGCAACAUUGUCUUUGCAUGCCUACUGGAGCGCAAUGUUCGGUGCACCACAAUGCCAUGUAUCAGCUUUUGUGUGCUGGUACAAUUGAUGGCAAUAACCCCCUGAAUUAAAUGCAUCAAUGUAUUGGAA